AUUAAAGAAUAAGUAAACGUUUUUUUUUUCUGUCUAUAAAUUUACUCUAAACAGCCCCCCAGAUUAAUGUACCUUAGUCCCUGCUGCAAGUCUGCUCUGGUUCCAGCGUUGUCAGCAGCUUCUUUCCCCUUCUUCCUGGUGCAGGGUGAAGCCCCACCCCUAAGCUUGCUGAGCUCUCCUUAUCUCUCUGACUAGUCGGAGAGAUCAUUUGCAUGCUGUGUCAUAGCUGGGAGGAAGGCAGAGCCAGUGUGUGCACGAGCAGCUUUUUUUUUUUCUCCUCACAUGCACUCCCUGCUCGUUCUGGUUCAUUCCAGAUCACAGCAGCACUGGGAGGAAGAGCUGGAAGACUUCUCUGAUACUGCUAAUGCACUAUAGGUCUUUAUUUUUCCUAAGGAGAAUUUUUCAAAACAGCUGGCAGAAUGGAUUACUUACACAGACACUUGAGUAACUGCUUGCACUUCAGCUGUCAGACUCUCAGCCCCAUCAUGCAAAUACUAUCUGCUGUUAAUUCUAAGGAAAGGUAGCACCCUGUGCCUGUUGUCCCUCUGGCAGAAAUUCCCCACUGAUGACCCCGGGCUCUGGGGUAAUUAAUGGCCACAAGUUUGUUGUUAAUAAAACUCCUGCUACAUCGAGCCCAAAUUCCCACCCUGCGAAGAGUAUUCUCAAAAUAACUACUUGAACAACCAGUCCCCAGAAUACUACGAGCGGCCGAGGGAGCCCGGGUUAGAGGCUCCUGCUGAGACUCUGUACUUGGGAGCGGGUAGUUACCCCAAAGACGGCUAUAGAUACAGCCACAUUGCUCCGCCGAGCCAAGAAUCUUCUGCAACAGUCCAGGAUCAUGGGAUCUCUCCAAAGGGGCACAGUCAAUCUCUGCCGCAACUUGUCCAAAGCCACGUCCUCAGGCAGCCUCCCCAGCACUGUGAUUCCUCGUAGUAUAACGUAGAGUGUGAAAUUCAGAGAAGAUUUGCAAUUGGUUUUUGACUUUUAUUAUUUAUGGUUUUUUAGUUAUUUAGCUUUUUAUUCAGAAGCUCUCCAGUUUGCAGUUUCAGCAAUCUGUUUGAUAGGCUCCAAAUUACCCUAGCAACCAUGCAUUAGUUUGAAUAAGUGACUGGAAUAUGAAUAAGAGAGGGUCCAGAUAUAAAGAUGAGUAAUACAAAGUAGGAAUAACAAUACAUUUGUAGCUUUACAGAUCUAAUCCGAAAUUUUAGAGGAGAUCCAAAGAAGAUUUGUCACUGGGCUUUCAUACACAUGCCGAUAAUCAGUCCAGUCUGGCAGUACGUUUCGGGUUGGGUCAGAAGAGCAGAUUCGGGAGAUUUAGUUGCCUGUCGACUAAUCACCUCUUCUGUGUGGCGACAAACUCCCCCGAACUCCCUUCCGUAUGCUUGAAUGAAGAAUCACCUGCGCUAAUGCACUCACGGUGCUUCGAUUCGGCAACUAAAUCUCCUCGAAUUUGCCCAUGUGCCCUUACCCUUAGUUUUCCGAAGUUGCCUCACUAGGAAACUUCAGUCGACUUUGGAAACGGAAGUGUUCCGAGUGUCAUCCCACAGGCGAUUUUCACUUUAGCUGGCGGGGAGGCAGUUCGUGGAGAUUAUUCGCCCGUAGAAAAAACAAUUUGUCGAUAGGGUGACUAAUCUCCCCAAAUCUCCACGUGUGUCUCUGCCCUUAGGCUACUGCCAGACAGGACUGAUUAUUGGCAUGUGCAUGAAAGCAGGCCCAGAAUCAACUAACUUGCUGGAGUCUGGUCAGUGGCAUAAAUAACACCCUCGUGGGACUGCCCUGUGGGGGCCACAGGUCCUGAGGGGCUCCUGCCACUGCUGCCAGGGUUCAGGCACCCACCUCUUCAGCCCAGAAUAAAUAAAAUCUCGCGUCUGCCACCACCUUUAGGGCAGUGGCACACAAAGCUACAGGGGGAGAUUAGUCGCCCAGCGACAAAUUGCUUUUUCUUCAGGCGACUAAUCUCAUCUGAACUGCUUCCUCGCCGGCUAAAGUAUUAAUCACCUGCGGGAUGGCACUCAGAACAUUUCAGUUUCUGAAGUCGCCCAAAGUUUCCUCAUGAGACAACUUUGUUUUCCAAGUGCCACCCCGCAGGCGAUUUACACUUUAGCCGGCGGGUGGCAGUUCAGGGGGAUUAGUCGCCCGAAGAAAAAGCAAUUUGUCGCUAGGCGACUAAUCUCCCCCUGUAGCUUCGUGUGCCACUGCCUUAGGAAUAACACAGUGCAUGCGAUGUGUCGGCUCCAGAUGUGUUGUGGAGUUCUACCCUAAAACACCAACCAAUAAAAAUUAAAACCAAUAAGAAAAUGUCUCAGAAUAUCAGUUUCUACAUCAUACUAAAGCAAUGCAUUGGGCAUUGUAAAUAUCAAUAGUAUCUCUGACCACACUGUAUGAUAUAAUUUACCAUUAGUAAUAUGUCGUAAAUGAAUGGAACAUUUUUAAUAUUAAUAAAACAGAUUUUUAUUGGAAAU
Molecule: long non-coding RNA, 2462 nt
Organism: Xenopus laevis (African clawed frog)
Lineage: Eukaryota; Metazoa; Chordata; Amphibia; Anura; Pipidae
Exons: 3
Source: RefSeq, a predicted model, not a curated record